This 497-nucleotide ribosomal RNA is filed under the name uncultured bacterium. RNAcentral's name for it is "partial 16S ribosomal RNA". It matches the Rfam family "Bacterial small subunit ribosomal RNA", at positions 28 to 507 of the family's 1533-position model. The record is from RNAcentral.
GAUGAACGCUGGCGGCGUGCCUAAUACAUGCAAGUCGAGCGAACGGACGAGAAGCUUGCUUCUCUGAUGUUAGCGGCGGACGGGUGAGUAACACGUGGAUAACCUACCUAUAAGACUGGGAUAACUUCGGGAAACCGGAGCUAAUACCGUAUAAUAUUUUGAACCGCAUGGUUCAAGAGUGUAAGACGGUCUUGCUGUCACUUAUAGAUGGAUCCGCGCUGCAUUAGCUAGUUGGUAAGGUAACGGCUUACCAAGGCAACGAUGCAUAGCCGACCUGAGAGGGUGAUCGUCCACACUGGAAGUGAGACACGGUACAGACUCCUAAGGGAGGCAGCAGUAGGGAAUCUUACGCAAUAGGCGGAAACCUGACGGAACAACGCCGCGUGAGUGACGAAGGUCUUCGGAUCGUAAAACUCUGUUAUUAGGGAAGAACAAAUGUGUAAGUAACAGAGCACAUAUUGACGGUACCUAAUCAGAAAGCCACGGCUAACUACGUG